RNAcentral lists this ribosomal RNA (848 nucleotides) under uncultured bacterium. Its description in RNAcentral is "bacterial SSU rRNA". It matches the Rfam family "Bacterial small subunit ribosomal RNA", at positions 8 to 837 of the family's 1533-position model. The record is from RNAcentral.
CAGAGUUUGAUCCUGGCUCAGGAUGAACGCUGGCGGCGUGCCUAAUACAUGCAAGUCGAGCGAACGGACGAGAAGCUUGCUUCUCUGAUGUUAGCGGCGGACGGGUGAGUAACACGUGGAUAACCUACCUAUAAGACUGGGAUAACUUCGGGAAACCGGAGCUAAUACCGGAUAAUAUUUUGAACCGCAUGGUUCAAAAGUAAAAGACGGUCUUGCUGUCACUUAUAGAUGGAUCCGCGCUGCAUUAGCUAGUUGGUAAGGUAACGGCUUACCAAGGCAACGAUGCAUAGCCGACCUGAGAGGGUGAUCGGCCACACUGGAACUGAGACACGGUCCAGACUCCUACGGGAGGCAGCAGUAGGGAAUCUUCCGCAAUGGGCGAAAGCCUGACGGAGCAACGCCGCGUGAGUGAUGAAGGUCUUCGGAUCGUAAAACUCUGUUAUUAGGGAAGAACAUAUGUGUAAGUAACUGUGCACAUCUUGACGGUACCUAAUCAGAAAGCCACGGCUAACUACGUGCCAGCAGCCGCGGUAAUACGUAGGUGGCAAGCGUUAUCCGGAAUUAUUGGGCGUAAAGCGCGCGUAGGCGGUUUUUUAAGUCUGAUGUGAAAGCCCACGGCUCAACCGUGGAGGGUCAUUGGAAACUGGAAAACUUGAGUGCAGAAGAGGAAAGUGGAAUUCCAUGUGUAGCGGUGAAAUGCGCAGAGAUAUGGAGGAACACCAGUGGCGAAGGCGACUUUCUGGUCUGUAACUGACGCUGAUGUGCGAAAGCGUGGGGAUCAAACAGGAUUAGAUACCCUGGUAGUCCACGCCGUAAACGAUGAGUGCUAAGUGUUAGGGGGUUUCCGC